Branchiostoma belcheri (Belcher's lancelet) is the source of this 350-nucleotide long non-coding RNA. RefSeq lists it as uncharacterized. The transcript is spliced from 4 exons. Lineage: Eukaryota; Metazoa; Chordata; Leptocardii; Amphioxiformes; Branchiostomatidae. The record is from RefSeq and is a predicted model, not a curated record.
GUGGUGUUGUGAGGUUUGCUGUAGUAUUAGCCAUGGUAAACCUUGGUGUUGUGAGGUUUGCUGUAGUAUUGGCCAUGGUAAGCCUUGGUGUUGUGAGGUUUGCUGUAGUAUUAGCCAUGGUAAGCCUUAGUGUUGUGAGGUUUGCCGUUGUGUUUACCGCAGUAGGACUUGGUGUUGUGAGGUUUGCUGUAGUAUUAGCCAUGGUAAGCCUUGGUGUUGUGAGGUUUGCCGUUGUGUUUACCGCAGUAGGACUUGGUGUUGUGAGGUUUGCUGUAGUAUUGGCCAUGGUAAGCCUUGGUGUUGUGAGGUUUGCCGUUGUGUUUACCGCAGUAGGACUUGGUGUUGUGAGG